RNAcentral lists this unclassified non-coding RNA (196 nucleotides) under soil metagenome. RNAcentral describes it as "partial internal transcribed spacer 1". The record is from RNAcentral.
CCUGAGUUUACAAACUCCCAAACCCAUUGUGAACCUUACCUACUGUUGCCUCGGCGGGAGCGCGGCCCACAGGGGCCGUCGCAGCCCCGACCAGCCCCGUCGGGGGAGGACCCAACCUUUGUAUACCCCGCCGGAGGGUUUUAUAAAUCUGAGCCUUACAUCGGCCUCUCUGCGUAGGCGUUUCUAAAAUAAGUCA